GCUGGGCAUGGUGGCGUAUGCCUGUAAUCCCAGAGAUUUGAGAGGCUGAGGCAGGAGAAAUGCAAGUUCAACAUCAGCUUCAGCAACUUACUGAAGCCCUAAGCAAUUUAGUGAGACCCUGUCUCAA
Molecule: small RNA, 127 nt
Filed under: Marmota monax (woodchuck)
Lineage: Eukaryota; Metazoa; Chordata; Mammalia; Rodentia; Sciuridae
Source: RNAcentral